GACGAACGCUGGCGGCGUGCCUAAUACAUGCAAGUCGAACGAGAGCGACCGGUGCUUGCACUGGUCAAUCUAGUGGCGAACGGGUGAGUAACACGUGGGUAACCUGCCCAUCAGAGGGGGAUAACAUUCGGAAACGGAUGCUAAAACCGCAUAGGUCCUUUAACCGCAUGGUUGAAGGAGGAAAAGAGGCGCAAGCUUCUGCUGAUGGAUGGACCCGCGGUGCAUUAGCUAGUUGGUGAGGUAACGGCUCACCAAGGCCGUGAUGCAUAGCCGACCUGAGAGGGUGAUCGGCCACAUUGGGACUGAGACACGGCCCAAACUCCUACGGGAGGCAGCAGUAGGGAAUCUUCCGCAAUGGACGCAAGUCUGACGGAGCAACGCCGCGUGAGUGAAGAAGGUUUUCGGAUCGUAAAACUCUGUUGUUAGAGAAGAACAAGUGCUAGAGUAACUGUUAGCGCCUUGACGGUAUCUAACCAGAAAGCCACGGCUAACUACGUG
Molecule: ribosomal RNA, 498 nt
Filed under: uncultured bacterium
Lineage: Bacteria
Description: partial 16S ribosomal RNA
Rfam family: Bacterial small subunit ribosomal RNA
Source: RNAcentral